Syngnathoides biaculeatus (alligator pipefish) is the source of this 74-nucleotide non-coding RNA. Lineage: Eukaryota; Metazoa; Chordata; Actinopteri; Syngnathiformes; Syngnathidae. The record is from the annotation of a RefSeq genome assembly.
GUUGUCCAUAGUGUAGUGGUUAUCACGUUUGCCUUACACGCAAGAGGUCCCUGGUUCGAGACCGGGUGGAAACA